AAAACUGGCUGCAAUCUACAAAUUGAUAGAUCAGCUGUCCAGAAGGAAAUACAAAGAAUCAAGAGUAUGGUAGAAAAUUCUGGACAUUGCUGGAGACUGGAGAUUCAAGAGAGUAAUGGUCCCUGUCUUCCUGAAACCUAAUGUCUGCCUUCACAGCAUCUCCACCAAGAGGAGACUGUCUCAAGAAACCACUUGUUUUUUGGCUCAACCAUAAGAAGCAACUCACCUGUUGAAGUUUCACUAUGAGAUUGCAGCAAUUCAGUCACUCUUCAGACUGUGCUUCUAAUUCUAGUUCUCUUGCUAUUUCUACCACAUGUCUAUUUCCUUCACUGAAGUCUUGAACCCCUCAAAGUCAUCCAUGAGGGCUGGGAAUUAACUUCUUCCAAACUCCUGUUAGUGUUGAUAUUUUGACCUCUUCCAAUGAAUCACGAAUGUUCUUAAUGGCAUCUAGAAUAGUGAAUCCUUUCCAGAAGGUUUUCAAUUUACUUUGGCCAGAUCCAUCAGAGGAAUCACUAUCUAUGGCGGCUAUAGCCUUACAAAAUGUAUUUCUUAAGUAAUAAGACUUGAAAGUCAAAAUCACUCCUUGAUCCACGGGCUGCAGAAUGAUGCUGUGUUUGCAGGCAUGAAAACAACAUUAACCUUGUACAUCUCCAUCAGAGCUCUUGGUGACCAAAUGUUGUCAAUGAGCAGUAGUAUUUUGAAAGGAAUCUUUUUUUCUAAGCAGUAGGUCCCAACAGUGGGCAUUAGAUAAUAUAACUUUAUUGUGUGCAGCAGCCCUUUUCACACCAAGUAUUAGUUUUUCCAUGUGAAAUAAGUUAAGAUUUAAAAUGAUAAAGUUAUUGUUAAGGAGAUGCAUUGGGCAAUAGAAAAAGCUGAGGAGAGUUUUUAUCUGAAACUGGAAAACAGAACAGUCUGGAAAAAAAGGACCACACGUUGCUAAGACCAGAAAAGGAGCUUGGAGACCAUGCUGUAAUUAUGUUGUAAACAGAUGUGCUGUCAUCCAGGCUUUGUUGUUCCAUUUACAUUAUAUAGUCAGAGUACAUUUAGUAGAUUUUAAGGGCCCUAAGAUUUCUGGAAUGGUAAAUGAGUACUGGCUUCAACCUAAAGUCACCAGCUGCAUUAGCCCCUAACAAGAGUCAGCCUGUCCCUUGAAGCCAGGCACUGACUUCUCCUCUCUAGCUAUGACAAAGUCCUAGAUGGCACCUUCUUCCAAUAGAAAGCUGUUUCGUCUACACUAAAAAGCUGUCGUUUACUGUAGCCAACUUCAUUAUUUUAGCUAGAUCUUCUGGAUAACUUGCUGUAGCUUCUACAUCAGCACUUGCUGCUUCACUUUGCACUUUUAUGUUAUGGAGAUGGCUUCCUUCCUUAAAUCUUAUGAACCAACCUCUGCUGGCUUCAAACUUUUCUGCAGCUACCUUAUCUCUUUAGGCUUUCAUAGAACUAAAGAGAGUUAGGGCCUUCUCUGGAUUAGACUUUGCCUUAAGGGAACGUUGUGAACGGUUUAAUCUUCUAUCCAGGCCAUUAAACUUUCUACAUAUGAGCAAGAAGGCUGUUUUGUUUUCUAAUCAUUUAUGUGUUCACCGGAGUAGCACUUUUAAUUUCCUUUAAAAACUUUUCCUUUGCAUUCAUAACUUGGCUAAGCAGCGCCUACCUUUUGGCCUAUCUCGGUUUUCAACAUGCAGUCCUCACUAAACUUAAUCGUUUCUAGAUUCUGAUUAAAGUGAGAGACACAACUUCUCCUUUCACUUGAACACUUAGAGGCCAUUGCAGUGUUAUUAAAUGGCCUAAUUUCAAUAUUCGUUGUAUCUCAAGGAAUAGGGAGGCCUGAGGAAAGGGAGAGAAACUGGGGAACAGCUGGCAGAUUAAGUUUUGCUAUCUUACAUGGGCAUGGUUUGUGGCACCCAAAAACAAUUACAAGAGUAAUAUCAAACAUCACUGAUCACAGAUCACUAUAACAAAUAUAAUAGUAAUGAAAAAGUCUGAAGUAUUGCAAGAAUUACCAAAGCAUGACACAGAGACAUAAAGUGAGCAGAUGUUGUUGGAAAAAUGGCACUGACAGGCUUACUGGACACAGGGUUGCCACAAACCUUCAAUUUGUAAAAAAUGCAGUAUCUUCAAAUAAAGUGAAGUGUAAUAAAACAAGGUAUGCCUGUGGUUGGUCCUAGUGAAAGGAUAUGAGAAGGAUCUGAGAAGACAAUGUGAGCAUAGCUCCUGCUUGCCAUCACAUACAUGAAUUAUAAAGGGCUAUCCCAGAACUUCCAUACUGAUUUCUUGCCAGCUUAAAAGGUCAAAUUCCAGAUGUGAGGACAAGGUAACAGCUACAGCCCUCUGAAACAAACCAGUAGGCCUUUUUAGGUAAACACUACAGUGAAACAUUUAGAAUGCUGGUCUGGUGAGAUGACCAUCUGUACUAAGAAAGGAUUCACAGGAAAGCAGAUCUUGAGUAGAGAACUUUCACCUACAUGAGAAUAAGAAUCACCUAUGGAGUUUAUAAAUAUAGAUGCCCAGAUCCAGUGAGUCAGAGUGUAUGUAUGUGCAUUAUUUUAAAAAAUAUUUUGUUUUUCUAAUUGUAAUAUAAUACAUGUAUUCACAUUCAAUUAGGGAGUCAAAGUUCCCUGGCUCAAACCCUGUCAAAGCUGUUCUUCUAUAUGUAAACUGACCCAGAUGUACAUAUGUGAAAAUAGAUAUUAUAGUUCUAUAACUUGCCUUUUAAUAUAAUGUAAUGCAUCUCUGACAUUGUUCCAUAAAGGUCUCCAUUAUUAAGCUGCAUAGUAUUCCAUCUUGUAUGGACACACCAUACUCUAAACAUCCACCUAAUGAUGAAAAUUUGGGUUGUUUCCAAUUUUUUAUUAUUGCAAACAGUGUUGCUUUGACCAUGGCACCUGCAUCUUUAAAAGCUCCUUAGGCAAUCUGAUGUACUCCUUGGAUAUAAGCCAUUGCUGUAAGAGGAUUGGCAGAAACUACAUUCUUCAGGUGAAAUUACACACAUUAUUGCAGACAUAAAUCAAUUCUCAUAGUUAGCUAAAAGGCAGGUGAACGU
Molecule: non-coding RNA, 3040 nt
Organism: Kogia breviceps (pygmy sperm whale)
Lineage: Eukaryota; Metazoa; Chordata; Mammalia; Artiodactyla; Physeteridae
Source: RefSeq, a predicted model, not a curated record